This 460-nucleotide ribosomal RNA is filed under the name uncultured bacterium. RNAcentral's name for it is "partial 16S ribosomal RNA". It matches the Rfam family "Bacterial small subunit ribosomal RNA", at positions 338 to 795 of the family's 1533-position model. The record is from RNAcentral.
CCUACGGGUGGCAGCAGUGAGGAAUAUUGGUCAAUGGACGGAAGUCUGAACCAGCCAUGCCGCGUGCAGGAAGACGGCCCUAUGAGUUGUAAACUGCUUUUGUACAAGGGUAAACCUGAAUACGUGUAUUCUGCUGAAAGUACUGUACGAAUAAGGAUCGGCUAACUCCGUGCCAGCAGCCGCGGUAAUACGGAGGGUCCAAGCGUUAUCCGGAUGUAUUGGGUUUAAAGGGUGCGUAGGCGGAUUGAUAAGUUAGAGGUGAAAUGUCCGAGCUUAACUCGGGAACUGCCUCUAAUACUGUUGAUCUAGAGAGUAGAUGCGGUAGGCGGAAUGUAUGGUGUAGCGGUGAAAUGCUGAGAGAUCAUACAGAACACCGAUUGCGAAGGCAGCUUACCGGUCUAUAUCUGACGUUGAGGCACGAAAGCGUGGGGAGCAAACAGGAUUAGAUACCCGAGUAGUC